GAGUUUGAUCGUGGCUCAGAUUGAACGCUGGCGGCAUGCCUUACACAUGCAAGUCGAACGGCAGCAUGAUCUAGCUUGCUAGAUUGAUGGCGAGUGGCGAACGGGUGAGUAAUACAUCGGAACGUGCCCUGUAGUGGGGGAUAACUAGUCGAAAGAUUAGCUAAUACCGCAUACGACCUGAGGGCGAAAGUGGGGGACCGCAAGGCCUCAUGCUAUAGGAGCGGCCGAUGUCUGAUUAGCUAGUUGGUGGGGUAAAGGCCCACCAAGGCGACGAUCAGUAGCUGGUCUGAGAGGACGAUCAGCCACACUGGGACUGAGACACGGCCCAGACUCCUACGGGAGGCAGCAGUGGGGAAUUUUGGACAAUGGGCGAAAGCCUGAUCCAGCAAUGCCGCGUGUGUGAAGAAGGCCUCGG
This 415-nucleotide ribosomal RNA is filed under the name uncultured microorganism. Its description in RNAcentral is "bacterial SSU rRNA". It matches the Rfam family "Bacterial small subunit ribosomal RNA", at positions 9 to 420 of the family's 1533-position model. The record is from RNAcentral.